This 775-nucleotide ribosomal RNA is filed under the name uncultured Neocallimastigales. Its description in RNAcentral is "partial large subunit ribosomal RNA". It matches the Rfam family "Eukaryotic large subunit ribosomal RNA", at positions 24 to 644 of the family's 3401-position model. The record is from RNAcentral. Lineage: Eukaryota; Fungi; Neocallimastigomycota; Neocallimastigomycetes; Neocallimastigales.
UAUCUCUGUAGAGUCUGCAUAUCAAUAAGCGGAGGAAAAGAAACUAACAAGGAUUCCCUUAGUAACGGCGAGUGAAGCGGGAAGAGCUCAAAUUUGAAAGUCUUCAAGGUUCUACCUUGACGAAUUGUAGUUUAAAGAAGUGUUUUCUGUUAGAUGAGUAGCAAAAGUUCCUUGGAAUGGGACAUCAUAGAGGGUGAGAAUCCCGUAUUUGGUUAUUCAUUCUAGCUUUGUGAUACACUUUCAAAGAGUCGGAUUGUUUGGGAAUGCAGUCCAAAAUGGGUGGUAAAUUUCAUCUAAAGCUAAAUAUUGGCGAGAGACCGAUAGCGAACGAGUACCGUGAGGGAAAGAUGAAAAGAACUUUGAAAAGAGAGUUAAACAGUACGUGAAAUUGUCAAAAGGGAAGCGUUUGACACCAGUGUUGUUUUUCCGAAAAUCAAUUACGAAUGGCUUGAUUUUGUGUUGUAUUGACCUUAUCAGCUUUCUUCACUUUUUUCGAGUCUUUCUUAAUGCACUUUUCGGUUAACAAGUCAACAUCAAUUUCUUUUGUUGUAAAAGAGUAUUCGGAAGGUGGCUUUCUUUUCGGAGAAAGUGUUUAUAGCCCUAUACUUCUACAAUCGGAGAGAUUGAGGUCUGCAGCGUAGAUCCUUCGGGGUUAGAUACACUUGUGCUAAGUUGUAGCUUUUCAUAGACAACUCGUUGACUAUGUUUAGUCAUGCGGCUUACUCGCUUGUGCUAUUUUACCUACGCUUAGGAUGUUGACUGAUAUGUAGUCGUA